RNAcentral lists this ribosomal RNA (488 nucleotides) under uncultured bacterium. RNAcentral describes it as "partial 16S ribosomal RNA". It matches the Rfam family "Bacterial small subunit ribosomal RNA", at positions 28 to 507 of the family's 1533-position model. The record is from RNAcentral.
GACGAACGCUGGCGGCGUGCUUAACACAUGCAAGUCGAACGGAAAGGCCCUGCUUUUGUGGGGUGCUCGAGUGGCGAACGGGUGAGUAACACGUGAGUAACCUGCCCUUGACUUUGGGAUAACUUCAGGAAACUGGGGCUAAUACCGGAUAGGAGCUCCUGCUGCAUGGUGGGGGUUGGAAAGUUUCGGCGGUUGGGGAUGGACUCGCGGCUUAUCAGCUGGUUGGUGGGGGAGUGGCUUACCAAGGCGAUGACGGGUAGCCGGCCUGAGAGGGUGAUCGGUCACCCUGGCACUGAGCCACGCUCCAGACGCCUACGGGAGGCAGCCGUGGGGAAUAUUGGACACUGGGGGCAAGUCUGAUCCAGCCAUGCCGCGUUUGUUACGACGUUCUUCGGUUUGUAAUGCCUUUUAAGUUGGGAGGAAGGGCAGUCAGUUGCUACCUUGCUGGUUUGACGUUACCGACAGAAUAAGCACCGGCUAACUUCGUG